UGAAAACUUAAAACUUAAAAGACUUGACGGUACUUCACACCAACCUAGAGGAGCCUGUCCAAUAACCGAUAAUCCACGAUCAACCCAACCUUUUCUAGCCCAUCAGUCUAUAUACCGCCGUCGCCAGCUUACCCUGUGAAAGAAACAAAGUAAGCCAAACAGUACAGACACUAACACGACAGGUCGAGGUGUAACUAAUGAAAAGGACCCAGAUGGGCUACAAUUCUUUAAUAAAGAACGAACAGACUAUGAAACUAGAAACUGAAGACGGAUUUAGCAGUAAGAUAAGAACAAAAUACUUAACUGAAACCAACGCAAUGAAGUGCGC
RNAcentral lists this ribosomal RNA (328 nucleotides) under Ditypophis vivax. RNAcentral describes it as "partial 12S ribosomal RNA". The record is from RNAcentral. Lineage: Eukaryota; Metazoa; Chordata; Lepidosauria; Squamata.